GGGUUGUGAGGUUAAGCGACUAAGCGUACACGGUGGAUGCCCUGGCAGUCAGAGGCGAUGAAGGGCGUGCUAAUCUGCGAUAAGCGCCGGUAAGGUGAUAUGAACCGUUAUAACCGGCGAUACCCGAAUGGGGAAACCCAGUGUGACUCGUCACACUAUCAUUAACUGAAUCCAUAGGUUAAUGAGGCGAACCGGGGGAACUGAAACAUCUAAGUACCCCGAGGAAAAGAAAUCAACCGAGAUUCCCCCAGUAGCGGCGAGCGAACGGGGAGGAGCCCAGAGCCUGAAUCAGCAUAUGUGUUAGUGGAAGCGUCUGGAAAGGCGCGCGAUACAGGGUGACAGCCCCGUACACAAAAGCGCAUGUGCUGUGAGCUCGAUGAGUAGGGCGGGACACGUGGUAUCCUGUCUGAAUAUGGGGGGACCAUCCUCCAAGGCUAAAUACUCCUGACUGACCGAUAGUGAACCAGUACCGUGAGGGAAAGGCGAAAAGAACCCCGGCGAGGGGAGUGAAAAAGAACCUGAAACCGUGUACGUACAAGCAGUGGGAGCCCCACCACUAAGCCAGUGGUGAACUCCACAUACGCAUCCUUUGCUGAGGAUACGGUUAACGGAGCGAAAGCGACGUUCAACCGCAAAAGAAGCAGAGGGGGCUUAGUGGUGGGGUGACUGCGUACCUUUUGUAUAAUGGGUCAGCGACUUAUAUUCUGUAGCAAGGUUAACCGUAUAGGGGAGCCGGAGGGAAACCGAGUCUUAACCGGGCGUUAAGUUGCAGGGUAUAGACCCGAAACCCGGUGAUCUAGCCAUGGGCAGGUUGAAGGUUGGGUAACACUAACUGGAGGACCGAACCGACUAAUGUUGAAAAAUUAGCGGAUGACCUGUGGCUGGGGGUGAAAGGCCAAUCAAACCGGGAGAUAGCUGGUUCUCCCCGAAAGCUAUUUAGGUAGCGCCU
This 949-nucleotide ribosomal RNA is filed under the name Salmonella enterica. Its description in RNAcentral is "partial 23S ribosomal RNA". It matches the Rfam family "Bacterial large subunit ribosomal RNA", at positions 1 to 882 of the family's 2925-position model. The record is from RNAcentral. Lineage: Bacteria; Pseudomonadati; Pseudomonadota; Gammaproteobacteria; Enterobacterales; Enterobacteriaceae.